UCAGAGGCUAGAGUCUCAUCCUGACAUACACUUGUCUUGGUGUGCUAGAGCACUCUAAGAUUAAAGACUGAUCCUAUUCACCGACUGGCCUGUUUUUAGGUUAGUCAACCACAUGGGCAGUUACAAGU
Molecule: small nucleolar RNA, 128 nt
Organism: Hypomesus transpacificus
Lineage: Eukaryota; Metazoa; Chordata; Actinopteri; Osmeriformes; Osmeridae
Product: small nucleolar RNA SNORA3/SNORA45 family
Exons: 1
Source: RefSeq, a predicted model, not a curated record